GAUUAGAACCUUCCUCUAGGUUAGAUUGGAAGGGUUCUAGCUCUCUUUUGGAGCGUAGGAAGAGAUUUCUUCUCUUGAGGUGAGUUUUGCCCAUUUUGCUAGAUGCUUAAUGUUUGAGCUUUUCGCUCUUCGUUUCGUUUGGAUGACACUCUUUUUGAUGUUCCUAGGGUGCUAGAAAGCUUGUAGAAACCUCCGUUGGAGCAAACGAAAAGCUUCGUUGUCGUCGGUGGGUUUGACCUAGCCUUUGAUAUGAGAAAAUCUCAUAUUUGGUGAUAAGUGCUUUGUCUACUAAUAAUUCAUGCAUUUUCAUAUUAAAUGUAUUUAUUAUGAUU
RNAcentral lists this long non-coding RNA (332 nucleotides) under Ananas comosus (pineapple). RNAcentral describes it as "long non-coding RNA (ACOM_LNC040974)". Lineage: Eukaryota; Viridiplantae; Streptophyta; Magnoliopsida; Poales; Bromeliaceae. The record is from RNAcentral.